CAAGGAGUGUAAUAUAUUUGCGAGUUAUAGGGGUUUCUAAAAUAAUAAUUGCGGGAUUAGUCUUUAGUUCGAACAUGCUUAGAGUGUUAAUCCAAUCCCGGGACAUAAUAAUAUUGAUAUCCCGAAAUAUGAUGAACUAUACUUGAUCAGGUUGAAGUCUGGGGAAACCCUGAUGGAAGAUGUACAAACCAAUCAUCAGAAUUGAAUAUAGGAGCGAAAGACAAGUCGAACCAUCUAGUAGCUGGCUCGUUGAACAAUUUUCCUCAGGAUCGCUGGAGCAUUUAAAAGUUAUUUAAAAUACUCUUAUAUGUUAAAGCGAACGAUUAGAAGCCUUAAGCAAGGAAGACUCUCACCUUUCUGGAUGCGGUUUUGAUAUAAUGUGCCCAGUGGGCCACUUUUGGUAUGCAAAACAAGUAUUGAGGGAUGAACCAAACCAAACACAAGAAAUAACUCCUAUAAGUGUAGCGCAGUGACGGUUAGGAGGAAUAUUUAAACCGUUACCGACGCAGCACUCG
Glossina austeni is the source of this 515-nucleotide non-coding RNA. Lineage: Eukaryota; Metazoa; Arthropoda; Insecta; Diptera; Glossinidae. The record is from Rfam.